This 462-nucleotide ribosomal RNA is filed under the name uncultured bacterium. RNAcentral describes it as "partial 16S ribosomal RNA". It matches the Rfam family "Bacterial small subunit ribosomal RNA", at positions 28 to 506 of the family's 1533-position model. The record is from RNAcentral.
GAUGAACGCUGACAGAAUGCUUAACACAUGCAAGUCUUUGGCGAAGCUGUGCUUGCACAGCCUAGCCAAGGCGGACGGGUGAGUAACGCGUAAGGAACUUGCCCUGCAGUCAGGGAUAACAGACGGAAACGACUGAUAAGACCUGGUAAAGUCAGGCGGACUCAUGUCCAGCCUGAUGAAAAGAGAUGCUGCAGGAGAGCCUUGCGUCCUAUUAGCUUGUUGGUGGGGUAACGGCCCACCAAGGCGAUGAUAGGUAGCCGGCCUGAGAGGGUGGACGGCCACAAGGGGACUGAGAUACGGCCCUUACUCCGACGGGAGGCAGCAGUGGGGAAUAUUGGACAAUGGGGGCAACCCUGAUCCAGCAAUUCUGUGUGCACGAUGAAGGUUUUCGGAUUGUAAAGUGCUUUCAGCAGGGAAGAAAAAAAUGACGGUACCUGCAGAAGAAGCGACGGCUAAAUACGU